GGCCGGUAUGAAUGGCGUUACGAAGGCCCCACUGUCUUAAGAGGACUCUCCAUGAAAUUGAAUUCGUAGUGAAGAUGCUACGUCCAUAUUGUAAGACGAAAAGACCCCAUUGAGCUUUACUAAAGACUUGCAUGGCUCAAAAUAAUUUGACUUAAAUAAAAAGUUUAGAUAAUGUGGGACCCGUUUCCGGUUAAUGAAACACCACUCUUUUAUUUUAAGAGAGCUAACAUUACAGGGAUAGUGUAAGUUGGAUAGUUUGGUUGGGGCGACCACCUUUUAAAAGGUAACGAAGGUGAGCUUAAGGUCCGUAGUUAAUAGCCGGUGGCCUGACUGCAAGGGGGACGUCUCGAGCAGACACGUCCUUAGGGAUGUGGACUAUAGUGACCCGUCAU
RNAcentral lists this ribosomal RNA (392 nucleotides) under Anthopleura michaelseni. Its description in RNAcentral is "partial 16S ribosomal RNA". It matches the Rfam family "Bacterial large subunit ribosomal RNA", at positions 1985 to 2426 of the family's 2925-position model. Lineage: Eukaryota; Metazoa; Cnidaria; Anthozoa; Actiniaria; Actiniidae. The record is from RNAcentral.